AGUGAAUAGAUACCCAGGUAGUCCCAGCUGUAAACGAUGCGCGUUAGGUGUAUCGGUGACCACGAGUUACCGAGGUGCCGAAAGGGAAACCGUGAAACGCGCCGCCUGGGAAGUACGGUCGCAAGGCUGAAACUUAAAGGAAUUGGCGGGGGAGCACUACGGCGGGUGGAGCCUGCGGUUUAAUNCGGACUCAACGCCGGGAAGCUCACCGGAUAAGACAGCUGGAUGAUAGCCGGGCUGAAGACUCUGCUUGACUAGCUGAGAGGAGGUGCAUGGCCGUCGUCAGUUCGUACUGUGAAGCAUCCUGUUAAGUCAGGCAACGAGCGAGACCCACGCCAACAGUUGCCAGCUUGUCCUCAGGGAUGAAGGGGACACUGUUGGGACCGCCUCUGCUAAAGAGGAGGAAGGAAUGGGCAACGGUAGGUCAGCAUGCCCCGAAUUAUCCGGGCUACACGCGGGCUACAAUGGCCAGGACAAUGGGAAUCGACACCGAAAGGUGAAGGCAAUCUCCUAAACCUGGUCUUAGUUCGGAUUGU
RNAcentral lists this ribosomal RNA (536 nucleotides) under uncultured bacterium. RNAcentral describes it as "bacterial SSU rRNA". It matches the Rfam family "Archaeal small subunit ribosomal RNA", at positions 723 to 1257 of the family's 1478-position model. The record is from RNAcentral.